Molecule: ribosomal RNA, 881 nt
Filed under: uncultured Sediminibacterium sp.
Lineage: Bacteria; Pseudomonadati; Bacteroidota; Chitinophagia; Chitinophagales; Chitinophagaceae
Description: bacterial SSU rRNA
Rfam family: Bacterial small subunit ribosomal RNA
Source: RNAcentral
UGAACGCUAGCGGCAGGCUUAAUACAUGCAAGUGGAGGGGCAGCAUGAAGUAGCAAUACUUUGAUGGCGACCGGCAAACGGGUGCGGAACACGUACACAACCUUCCUUUAAGUGGGGAAUAGCCCAGAGAAAUUUGGAUUAAUACCCCGUAACAUUGCGAUGUGGCAUCACAUUGCAAUUAUAGUUUCGACGCUUAAUGAUGGGUGUGCGUAUGAUUAGAUAGGUGGCGAGGUAACGGCUCACCAAGUCUACGAUCAUUAGCUGAUGUGAGAGCAUGAUCAGCCACACGGGCACUGAGACACGGGCCUGACUCCUACGGGAGGCAGCAGUAAGGAAUAUUGGUCAAUGGACGCAAAUCUGAACCAGCCAUGCCGCGUGAAGGAUUAAGGUCCUCUGGAUUGUAAACUUCUUUUAUAUGGGACGAAAACAGAUCUUUCUAGGUCCUUUGACGGUACCAUAUGAAUAAGCACCGGCUAACUCCGUGCCAGCAGCCGCGGUAAUACGGAGGGUGCAAGCGUUAUCCGGAUUCACUGGGUUUAAAGGGUGCGUAGGCGGGCAGGUAAGUCAGUGGUGAAAUCCUGGAGCUUAACUCCAGAACUGCCAUUGAUACUAUCUGUCUUGAAUAUUGUGGAGGUAAGCGGAAUAUGUCAUGUAGCGGUGAAAUGCUUAGAUAUGACAUAGAACACCCAUUGCGAAGGCAGCUUACUACGCAUAUAUUGACGCUGAGGCACGAAAGCGUGGGGAUCAAACAGGAUUAGAUACCCUGUAGUCCACGCCCUAAACGAUGGAUACUCGACAUACGCGAUACACUGUGAGUGUCUGAGCGAAAGCAUUAAGUAUCCCACCUGGGAAGUACGUUCGCAAGAAUGAAACUCAAAUGA